GACGAACGCUGGCGGCGUGCUUAACACAUGCAAGUCGAACGGAAAGGCCCUGCUUGCAGGGUACUCGAGUGGCGAACGGGUGAGGAACACGUGGGUGAUCUGCCCUGCACUUCGGGAUAAGCCUGGGAAACUGGGUCUAAUACCGGAUAGGGGCCAUUUUUAGUGUGAUGGUUGGAAAGUUUUUUCGGUGUAGGAUGAGCUCGCGGCCUAGCAGCUUGUUGGUGGGGUAAUGGCCUACCAAGGCGGCGACGGGUAGCCGGCCUGAGAGGGGGGACGGCCACAUUGGGACUGAGUAACGGCCCAGGCACCUACGGGGGGCGGACGUGGGGAAUAUUGCACAAGGGGCGCAAGCCUGAUGCAGCGACGCCGCGUGGGGGAGGACGGCCUUCGGGUUGGAAACGCAGUUCGCUAGGGACGAAGCUUUUUGUGACGGUACCUAGAUAAGAAGCACCGGCUAACUACGUG
This 465-nucleotide ribosomal RNA is filed under the name uncultured bacterium. RNAcentral describes it as "partial 16S ribosomal RNA". It matches the Rfam family "Bacterial small subunit ribosomal RNA", at positions 28 to 507 of the family's 1533-position model. The record is from RNAcentral.